This 253-nucleotide ribosomal RNA is filed under the name uncultured bacterium. Its description in RNAcentral is "partial 16S ribosomal RNA". It matches the Rfam family "Bacterial small subunit ribosomal RNA", at positions 524 to 776 of the family's 1533-position model. The record is from RNAcentral.
UACAGAGGGGGCAAGCGUUGUUCGGAAUUACUGGGCGUAAAGGGCGCGUAGGCGGCCGCCUAAGUCAGACGUGAAAUCCCUCGGCUCAACCGGGGAACUGCGUCUGAUACUGGGUGGCUUGAAUUCGGGAGAGGGAUGCGGAAUUCCAGGUGUAGCGGUGAAAUGCGUAGAUAUCUGGAGGAACACCGGUGGCGAAGGCGGCAUCCUGGACCGAGAUUGACGCUGAGGCGCGAAAGCUAGGGGAGCGAACAGG